Molecule: long non-coding RNA, 253 nt
Organism: Zingiber officinale
Lineage: Eukaryota; Viridiplantae; Streptophyta; Magnoliopsida; Zingiberales; Zingiberaceae
Exons: 3
Source: RefSeq, a predicted model, not a curated record
GUACGAGAAACUAAUACAAGUCGAGUGGCUUCACGAGAUCUCAGUUUGUUGAAGCCUGAAUUUAUGGACCAAAAUCAGUGGGACUUGUUUGUACAGAGGACAUUAUCAUCUACCUUUCAAGAAAAGAGUGCAAGAUUUAGAGCAAUGAGGGAAAAACAAGACCACAUUCACACAAUGAGUCGGAGGGGCUACGCUCGUUUGACUCACAUUAUGGAAAAGACAAGUCCGAUGGAUACAAAAAUUACGAGAUCGC